Molecule: ribosomal RNA, 520 nt
Filed under: uncultured bacterium
Lineage: Bacteria
Description: bacterial SSU rRNA
Rfam family: Bacterial small subunit ribosomal RNA
Source: RNAcentral
AGAGUUUGAUUCUGGCUCAGAACGAACGCUGGCGGCGCGUUUAAGCAUGCAAGUCGAGCGGCAAGGGCCUUCGGGCCCCUAGAGCGGCGGACGGGUGAGUAACACGUGGACAAUCUGCCCCCCGGCCCGGGAUAGCCCAGGGAAACCUGGAUUAAUACCGGAUGAGACGGGACCCGCGAUGGCGGGACCCGGGAAAGGCGCUGCGGCGCCGCCGGGGGAUGAGUCUGCGUCCCAUUAGCUAGACGGCGGGGUAACGGCCCACCGUGGCGACGAUGGGUAGCCGGCCUGAGAGGGUGGACGGCCACAUUGGAACUGAGACACGGUCCAGACUCCUACGGGAGGCAGCAGCUAAGAAUCUUCCGCAAUGGGCGAAAGCCUGACGGAGCCGACGCCGCGUGAACGAAGAAGGCCGUGAGGUUGUAAAGUUCUUUUCGGGAGGGGGAACAACCGUGGCAGGGAAUGGCCGCGGGAUGACGUGAAUCCCGGAAUAAGCCCCGGCUAACUACGUGCCAGCAGCCGC